RNAcentral lists this ribosomal RNA (301 nucleotides) under uncultured bacterium. RNAcentral's name for it is "partial 16S ribosomal RNA". It matches the Rfam family "Bacterial small subunit ribosomal RNA", at positions 509 to 807 of the family's 1533-position model. The record is from RNAcentral.
CAGUAGCCACGGUAAUACGAAGGGUGCAAGCGUUAAUCGGAAUCACUGGGCGUAAAGGGUGCGUAGGCGGAUUCUUAAGUCAGGGGUGAAAUCCCGAGGCUCAACCUCGGAACUGCCUUUGAUACUGGGGAUCUUGAGUCCGGAAGAGGUGAGUGGAACUGCGAGUGUAGAGGUGAAAUUCGUAGAUAUUCGCAAGAACACCGGUGGCGAAGGCGGCUCACUGGUCCGGAACUGACGCUGAGGCACGACAGCGUGGGGAGCAAACAGGAUUAGAUACCCGCGUAGUCCCUGUCUCUUAUAC